Non-coding RNA from Methylophaga sp. 41_12_T18, 213 nucleotides. Lineage: Bacteria; Pseudomonadati; Pseudomonadota; Gammaproteobacteria; Thiotrichales; Piscirickettsiaceae. The record is from Rfam.
CUAUUCGCGCCAUCUUCAGGUGCUCUGACAUGAUGUUAGAGUUAAAAGGGAAGUUGGUGCGUCACUAUUAAUGACAACUCCAACACUGCCCCCGCAACGGUAAAUGUUGAAAAAUAAAUCAAUCAGCCACUGUGAUUCAUUCAUGGGAAGGCGAUUUGUUUUUGCGAAAGCGACAACAUGAGUCCGGAGACCUGCCUGAAGUUUCAUGACAAA